Molecule: long non-coding RNA, 2908 nt
Organism: Nicotiana tabacum (common tobacco)
Lineage: Eukaryota; Viridiplantae; Streptophyta; Magnoliopsida; Solanales; Solanaceae
Source: RefSeq, a predicted model, not a curated record
GUUUGCUUCUAGCCUCUACUAGCGCGUCUCUCUCUCUCCCUUCAUCUCUCUAUCUCUAUCUUUCUCUCUCUUUGAAGAACAAAACUCAUCCGAGCUAAGAUCUUAUGCCUACCAAAUGUGCUACUUUUUCUAUUUCUAUAUCUACAUGCUCUCUCUCUCUCUCUCUCUGUCCGACGAGCGCGAGCUCAUCUGAGCUACAUUGGAACAAAAUCCACCUGGUUCUUGCGAAGAUUUCAUAGUGUACUCGUGAUUCCGCGUUCUGAGUGGAGUGGCAAUGAUGUCGUUUAAAGCUGCAAGGGUUCCCAACGACAAAGAACAUCCUUAUGGUCACUCUUGAUUUAUAUCUACAGUUUACUCUUUUGAUCUUACAUCACUUGGUCUUGCAUGAUUUUACCUUUUAAUUUUGUGUUUGCAUUUACUUGAGUAUGGGCGUAAUAAUACCAACAUACUAUUAGAUUAAGUUAAGGGCGGGCAGGGUUUGUUCCCAUGAGUGAUUUGGUAAAAUUUAAUCAAUACAGAAUAUUGUAGAGCCAAGGUAUGAAUCUUAUUUACUUGUAAAUGAGCAUGAAUCUUAUCAUUGUCGGCUCCUUAAACUUUACAACUUAGCGAAAGGCAGAAUGCCCUAGAAACAUGUACUCCCUCCGUUCGUAUUUUAUUUGACACACGUUUGAUCGGGUGCAGAGUUUAAAUAUGUACAUUCAACUCAUGUAUUAUAUUACUAGUAGUAGGAGAAAACAUUACUGUGAUGGUUGAAAAGUUAGUUUGAUAGAAAACAUAAGUCUAUAUCAAUAGUUAAUAAAAUUGAAUGUGACCAUGACAUAUCCAGGUUGAACUAGCUAUACAAAUCUUGGUGCAGCCCUAUGACAAAUCCAGGUUGAACUUCUGAAACAAUAGAAAAAGAAAAAGGAAAUAUUUGUUGAUUCUUUCUUUGUGUACUGCUUUCUCAUCACGUGUCUUGGAAAAAUAUUUGUCUAUUGUUUCUGAUAAUUUGGAAUCCCAAUUUCAUGUUCUCGUUGGUGUAGCCACUAAUAACAGAUGAGGUACUUGCAUUUCGUUGCAUAUCUCUUCUUCUGCUCUGUGUUAACAUCUUGUAUCAUUGUCAUUAAUUUUCCGUAAGUCUUUUGUUUCCUCUUCUCUUGUGGUGUAUGUGACAUCAUCUAGUAUUAUUGACUUCCUUAUUUUCAGAGGGUACAUAUAACUGGUGAAUUUACAUUCUUAUAGGUCAUAUGUAAACAAGAACAUUGGGGGCACUAGCUACACUAUGCAGUUCAUCUGAAAUGACUGGAUAUCUAGGUUUGAUAACUGGUUGGGAGUGACCUUGUUUUAAUUAGAGGACUGGCAAACUUGAAUAGCACAUAUCCCAACUAGAGGCGACUUUUCGCCAUUCAAGCUAUGUGAUUGGCAUACGCUCAGGGCACAAAACGUCAUGCUGCCAAAUUGACAGGCAGCUAUUCUGUUAUUUGAUUGAGAAUAUUUGUCCUUUUUGAUUAUGAAGAAUCAAAAGUUUAUGGCUUACAGUAGUAUGUUUUUAUGAAAAAAUAUAUAGUUACAUCUACUUCCAACUUAAGUCUACUUCACCCUGUCGGUUUCCCCAAAGUUUAUGAUUUGGUAAAUAUGUGAAUAAUUCACUACAUUCAAUUCUACUUGAGUUGCACUUUUACUUCUCUUAUUGUUCUUCAUUUUAGUUAUACCUUUACUCUGGUGCUUGUAAAGGUACCCUCUCAAUGGUCCUUAUGGCAGUAAGCAAUAAACUUGGUGUUAAAGUGCUCAACAGACCAAAUUAUGAUUGCAGUCAUUGUAUGACAUUGAGCUACUUCUUCAUACUCUCUAUCCCAAUUUGUGAUACAUAAUUUCGAUGGAAAUUCAAAUAACUUCUCUGUGUAUUAUGGUUUUCGUAAACAAGUUAACUAGCCUUUCAAUUUUAAGAAUGUGUUGAUUAUAGUGCUGUUAUUCUAAUCUAAAACAUCCUCUCAUAUCCUCUAAGUCCUUGCUUGGAUUCAAAACAAUGGAUCUUUUAGGGUUAUCAUUAUAUGAAUCUCCAUGCAAACUCAUUAAUUCAUUGUCUGAUAGAACACAAUCUUCUUCUUGAGUCUGACUAGGAAACUCUGCUAGCAUAUUUGAGACAAACCCAGACUCAAUAUAUUUCCCAGUUCCACAAAUCUGUUUAUCUUUGUUUUAUCCUUUGACACUAGCUAACUCUGUAAUAGAAUUAUUGGUUUUAUCUAAAAUCAUGUCAUCUUCUUCUUCAGGAUAGUCAGAGUCAUGGAAUGACUCACAAUCUUCACUUGUAGCAUCACUAUCGUUAUCUCCCUCUACUAUAUUCACAUCUACGAAGCCUUCUUCGUCAUGAAGUUGCCCUCUAAAUCAGUCACAUCAUAGCUCCAUUGGUCCUCAUUUGUGCGCUCAACAAAUAUCUCAACCUCUCUAUUCACAGCAGAAAAUGAAAAAGAAGAGGACCAGAAGGAAAUUAUGAAGAUACCAUGAGUUUGGUAAGGAGACAACUCAAAAAAUUGCAGAGACAGAUAGGGAAAUGGUCAUUUGUACACAACGACCAUUUAAAAAAGAGAGCACUGAUAAUAAGGAGGAGAAACUGGAAAUCAGUAAUCUGUUCAUUCACACAAACAUAAUAAGGAGAAACAAUUUGGGUAGAGGAAUUGAAAAGAAAGUGGCAGCAAUCGAGGUCGAAUUAUUCAAGAUAAACUGGACAUGUGCAGAUUCUAAGAUACAAUUGAGAGCAUUGAAUAUAUGUGGUGUUUUUGGCAAUGCAUCAAAGAUGUUUUAGUGAAACUUUUUCAAUUUCUAAUAGAAAUUGAAUACCAUUUUGUGUUAGCAUACAGUUCCUUAAAGUGUAUGAAACUAAGUUCAUAAUUUGCACAUCAUCAAGCCAAUAAUUCCAAGUAUUUCAGUA